This 477-nucleotide small RNA is filed under the name Rattus norvegicus (Norway rat). RNAcentral describes it as "uncharacterized LOC108351315". The record is from RNAcentral. Lineage: Eukaryota; Metazoa; Chordata; Mammalia; Rodentia; Muridae.
GAUGAUGAUGAUGAUGACGAUGAUGAUCACAAGCUAGAUGUCAGCUUGGUUACUGUCACAUCUCCCCGCAGAGUUCCAAAUGCCUGUUAUUCAAGAUGAUGAAGAGUGUGACGUCACGGAAUUUCAACCUUGGGUUUCCUCAUUUUGCAUUCUGUCAUGAGCAAGCGUAUCGUCCCGGAAAAGUGCAUAAGCGCCCUCAUAAUUGCUUCGUAGUUUCCUAUGAACUGCAAAUGUAUGUGAGUGUUUGACUAGUACUAGACUCUUCAUUCUGUAACUAAUGUUGAUUAUUAAUUUCAAAAAGCAGACAAGAAGUCGGUUGGCCAAAUCAUACUGUACUUCAAGAACAGGACAGUGUCCCAUGGUUGGGUGUCUUUCUCAUGAUGGACUCUCUGUAAAUUAAACAGCAGCCAAUUAGUCACUUUCCUGUUGUUUCAGCUUUCAGUUUGCUCCGAUUAAACAUUCAUAUGGUAAAUCUUA